AGAGUUGAUCCUGGCUCAGAUUGAACGCUGGCGGCAGGCCUAACACAUGCAAGUCGAGCGGUAGAGAGAAGCUUGCUUCUCUUGAGAGCGGCGGACGGGUGAGUAAUGCCUAGGAAUCUGCCUGGUAGUGGGGGAUAACGUUCGGAAACGGACGCUAAUACCGCAUACGUCCUACGGGAGAAAGCAGGGACUCGGCUGCCCACAAUAACUAGUCGGAUAGCUAGUUGGUGAGUAAUGGCUCACCAAGGCGACGAUCGUAACUGGUCUGAGAGAUGAUCAGUCACACUGGAACUGAGACACGUCCAGACUCCUACGGAGCAGCAGUGGG
RNAcentral lists this ribosomal RNA (328 nucleotides) under Pseudomonas sp. PHZ13. RNAcentral's name for it is "bacterial SSU rRNA". It matches the Rfam family "Bacterial small subunit ribosomal RNA", at positions 8 to 358 of the family's 1533-position model. The record is from RNAcentral. Lineage: Bacteria; Pseudomonadati; Pseudomonadota; Gammaproteobacteria; Pseudomonadales; Pseudomonadaceae.